CAGAUCCAAGCAGCUGGAGGAUCCGGAGAGAUAUCUGAAGCGAUACGAAUGCUCCUUACGUGGACUGGCUUCCUUUAUUUCUUCUUAAGAUUUCAAAGAAGAGGCUGUGCAGGACAGUAGAAGCUGUUGAAGUUUUGACUGUGGGUUCGCGCUCUCCCUAUCUGCAGGGGUUUCACUGAGUUGGCAAAAACGUGUCGCGACGCAGGAACAGAAAUAAACUGUCGGCCUUCAAGAACUCCAACACACGCACAUCUUGUCCUAAUUGGACCUCCAACAGACACUCGGCUCAGCAUGGUGAAGGUUCUUCUUGAAGGUUCUGAGGAUACAGAAGCCCAUGGUUUGAAUGAAAUAUUUUGGUCUUUCCCACCCUCUUGCUGGUCUUGUUGAACAUUCAACGCUGUCGGUGAGUUUUUGACAUAGAAAAACCAUCGACCGUUGAGUGGGCCCUGAGGCCACGCCCUCUUCCGCCCAGACACGCCCACCUCUAUAGAUGACUUAAUUUCUUCAAAGGUCAUAAUCAACAUUCAUUGCUGUCGGUGGGUUAAUUGUGUAACAGCUCUCUGAACAAUGAAUGUAACUAUGGCCCAGAUUCCAGCCUGUCAUGCCAGCAUACAUCACACUCUGCGCCAGUACAGCAGAGAUCAGCUUUUCUUUUCCUUUCUUCUCCUGCGCUCAUCCUCACGGAUCUGGAGUUCUUCAAGGAAGACACAAAUAGAAGCAGCCGCACUGACUGCUUCCUCCUGCAUCUAAUUGGUGGUUGUGUGUGUGUGUGCGUGUGUGUGCGUGUGGAGUGGACAGAAGGAAAUGGAGGAUGAAUGUAUAAUCAUUUAGAUGUUCUUCUCAUUUGGCUGUUUUGUCUCUCAAAUUACAUACUGUGUUCACUGCAGCCUGAAAUGAGCCUAAAAUGGCACUUGCUGCUGAAUACUGUCCUCUCUGUCAGCUGUGUGUCUGUUUGGUGUGCGCUUGCAAGUGUAUGUGGUGUGAGUUUGUGUUUGUGCAACUUUGUAGUUUAUGUACGUGAGACGUAGCAUAUAUAUGCGUCUCCAUCGAAGACAUCAAAGAAAGAAGCUUCGGUUUUAAAAUCUCCAGAUACCGAAACACAACGACACAGUCAUUGUCUAAUCCCGUCUGUCUUUCUGCCUCCUUCUGUCUCUUUCUUUGACUACCUUUCAUUCUUCCAUGUUCUCAGUGGAACAUGAGCUGAAUAAAAUGUCUGAAUAAUAAAAUCUCAG
Molecule: long non-coding RNA, 1232 nt
Organism: Sinocyclocheilus grahami
Lineage: Eukaryota; Metazoa; Chordata; Actinopteri; Cypriniformes; Cyprinidae
Exons: 3
Source: RefSeq, a predicted model, not a curated record